GACAGAGGUCCCGAGCGUUAGGCGGAAUCACUGGGCUUAAAGCGUGUGUAGGCGGAUCGUUAAGUGCCUUGUGAAAUCCCACGGCUUAACCGUGGAACUGCUUGGCAUACUGGCGGUCUUGAGCCAGCUAGGGGCUACCGGAACAAAUGGUGGAGCGGUGAAAUGCGUAGAUAUCGGGAGGAACACCAGUGGCGAAGGCGGCUUCCUGGCCUGUUCUUGACGCUGAGGCGCGAAAGCUAGGGGAGCAAACGGG
Molecule: ribosomal RNA, 253 nt
Filed under: uncultured bacterium
Lineage: Bacteria
Description: partial 16S ribosomal RNA
Rfam family: Bacterial small subunit ribosomal RNA
Source: RNAcentral